RNAcentral lists this ribosomal RNA (464 nucleotides) under uncultured bacterium. Its description in RNAcentral is "partial 16S ribosomal RNA". It matches the Rfam family "Bacterial small subunit ribosomal RNA", at positions 28 to 506 of the family's 1533-position model. The record is from RNAcentral.
GACGAACGCUGGCGGCGUGCUUAACACAUGCAAGUCGAGCGGUAAGGCCCCUUCGGGGGUACACGAGCGGCGAACGGGUGCGUAACACGUGAGCAAUCUGCCCAUCACAUCGGGAUAACUCCGGGAAACCGAAGCUAAUACCGAAUACGACCACCUCCGGCAUCGGAUGGUGGUGGAAAGUUCCGGCGGUGAUGGAUGAGCUCGCGGCCUAUCAGCUUGUUGGUGGGGUAACGGCCCACCAAGGCUUCGACGGGUAGCCGGCCUGAGAGGGUGACCGGCCACACUGGGACUGAGACACGGCCCAGACUCCUACGGGAGGCAGCAGUGGGGAAUAUUGGACAAUGGGCGAAAGCCUGAUCCAGCAACGCCGCGUGAGGGAUGACGGCCUUCGGGUUGUAAACCUCUUUCAGCAGGGACGAAGCGCAAGUGACGGUACCUGCAGAAGAAGCACCGGCCAACUACGU